ACCUCCUGGGCUGGCUACAGACUGACAAUACCUCCUGGGCUGGCUACAGACUGACAAUACCUCCUGGGCUGGCUACAGACUGACAAUACCUCCUGGGCUGGCUACAGACUGACAAUACCUCCUGGGCUGGCUACAGACUGACAAUACCUCCUGGGCUGGCUACAGACUGACAAUACCUCCUGGGCUGGCUACAGACUGACAAUACCUCCUGGGCUGGCUACAGACUAUAUAUUUCCAUACACUUAAUAAGAACAUGAAACAACUCUCAUAGAAAAAAACUUUGAGAAACGGAAGGAUAAAGUUAUCCAUCAAAUCUCCAGUGUGUUCUUUCCCCAAAACCAGCCCCUAAAAUAGCCUUGGACACCAAGCAAUGUUUUAUUUUGAUAGUGCUGUGUCUAUGGGAUAUAUGAACUAUUGGAAAUAGUAUCCUAGCAACCCCUUGUCCAAUAAUACAAACGCUAACUUUAUCCGUCUAUAACAGCAUUCUUGCCUCAAUAGGAAAGUAUCAUGCUUAAAUGACAUCUAGGAACAUGCCAACCCAGAUAUUAUACAGUAUGCCAUUAGGCCAACAGCUUCUAUCCAAAGCAAUUUACAGUUAAACAUGCAUACAUUUUUUUUUUUUUAAAUGUAUAGGUGGCCCCGGGAAUGAAACUCACUAUCCUAGCAUUGCAAGAACCAUGCUCUACCAACAGAGCUACAGAGGAUCAUCCAUUGUGUACCACAGCUCCAUUUCAAUUUGUCUCAACGGAAUCUCGAAAGCGUCCCAUAAACCAUUUGCACGGCGUUAAUUCUAUUAAAUUAGCACAUCCUGUUCCAUUUCUGAAUCAAAGUCUAUCUGGCACACCAUCUGGCCUACAUUUAAGCACAAUUAAAGUAGAACGGUAGAACGACUGAGAAAUGUUUGGUGGCAAAAGCCCACGUUGGAAACAAUGCCCAAGGGGACCAACUGUUAAUUCAAACAAUUUAAAUACGUAAAGUGGUUUGACUGUUUGCCAACUACUAUAUGGUAGAGUUCAGGACGGGAGACCUCUCUCCUGUCGAAAGGAAAUCCUUUGUUUAAUUAACAUCAAGUGUUUUUCCAGUCAGGACGAUUGGACCUCCAAUUCACAUUGAGAGAAGCCAUAUGAGGAGAUUGUGUGUCUGUGUUCUGAUCGGAUUCCACUUGAGCACACUCUGCCAAACUGGACCACAUAGUGUCUUCGACUCAAUUCCAAGGAAAAUACCUGAGAUAGAGACAUCAACACUGCAGAUGUUACUGAUUUUAAAUGAAUAAAUGAAACUCAUCAAACGUGCGCUGACUUUAAUUUUCCAUUAUCCAUGUAAUAGAGUGGGUUCAAACAGGGGUGCGCUAUGCAUUGUGCAAAUUGCACCGCGGGUUACAGUGCAAGCAGGCUUGAAUAUGCAGUGGAUUCGUCCCAAUCGACACAAUAUUCAUGAAGCAGUGUGACUGGUAUCUAGCAAAAGAGUGUAGGAGUGGUAUUUAACCUAGUUGACUGUAUUUUAAAAAAAAUGUAAAUAACUCAAGCUACCUAGCUGGCUAACUUGACUAACUUUGGGGUGGAAAUGUCCACUUACUUACAGGUAGCCCUGUCCAGCCCUGCCCAGAGGUGCGCUAGUAGACAGAUGCUGCUGAAACUAACAAAACAACCAGAAUAUGGACUUUAAAACUGGGUCAAUCAACAACAACCAACAAAAGAUUAGACAAUCUUUUGAAAGUGUUUAUCCCUUUAAACCUGUGUCUACUCGUCUUAAUUUGAUAUACAGUUGAAGUCGGAAGUUUACAUACACCUUAGCCAAAUACAUUUAGACUCAGUUUUCACAAUUCCUGACAUUUAAUCCGAGUAAAAAUUCCCUGUUUUAGGUCAGUUUGGAUCACCACUUUAUUUUAAGAAUGUGAAAUGUCAGAAUAAAAGUAGAGAGAAUUAUUUAUUUCAGCUUUUAUUUCUUUCAUCACAUUCCCAGUCGGUCAGAAGUUUACAUACAAUUAGUAUUUGGUAGCAUUACCUUUAAAUUGUUUAACUUGGGUCAAAUAGCCUUCCACAAGCUUCCUACAAUAAGUUGGGUGAAUUUUGGCCCAUUCCUCCUGACAGAGCUGGUGUAACUUGAGUCAAUUUUGUAGGCCUCCUUGCUUGCACGCACUUUUUCAGUUCUGCCCACAAAUUUUCUAUGGGAUUGAAGUUAGGGCUUUGUGAUGGCCACUCCAAUACCUCGACUUUGUUGUCCUUAAGCCAUUUUGCCACAACUUUGGAAGUAUGCUUGGGGUCAAUGUCCAUUUGUCCAAUGUCCAUUGAUGUCUUGAAAUGUUGCUUCAAUAUAUCCACAUCAUUUUCUAUCCUCAUGAUGCCAUCUAUUUUGUGAAGUGCACCAGUCCAUCCUGCAGCAAAGCACCCCCACAACAUGAUGCUGCCACCCCCGUGCUUCACGUUUGGGAUGGUGUUCUUCGACUUGCAAGCCUCCCCCUUUUUCCUCCUAACAUAACGAUGGUCAUUAUGGCCAAACAGUUCUAUUUUUGUUUCAUCAGACCAAAAGUACGAUCUUUGUCCCCAUGUGCAGUUGCAAACCGUAGUCUGGCUGUUUUGGUUUUGGAGCAGUGGCUUCUUCCUUGCUGAGCGGCCUUUCAGGUUAUGUCAAUAUAGGACUCGUUUUACUGUGGAUAUAGAUACUUUUGUACCUGUUUCCUCCAGCAUCUUCACAAGGUCCUUUGCUGUUAUUCUGGGAUUGAUUUGCACUUUUUGCACCACAGUACGUUCAUCUCGGCGUGGUCCCAUAGUGUAUAUACUUGCUUACUAUUGUUUGUACAGAUACAGAUGAAUGUGGUACCUUCAGGCGUUUGGAAAUUGCUCCAGACUUGUGGAGGUCUACAACUUUUUCUCUGAGGUCUUGGCUGAUUUCUUUUGAUUUCCCCAUGAUGCCAAGCAAAGAGGCACUGAGUUUGAAGGUAGGCCUUGAAAUACAUCCACAGGUACACCUCCAAUUGACUCCAAUGAUGUCAAUUAGUCUAUCAGAACUUCUAAUGCCAUGACAUCAUUUUCUGGAAUUUUCCAAGCUGUUUCAAGGCACAGUCAACUCAGUGUAUGUAAACUUCUGACCCACUGGAAUUGUGAUACAGUGAAUUAUCGGUGAAAUAAUCUGCCUGUAAACAAUUAUUGGAAAAAGGACUUAGAUGUCCUAACCGACAUGCCAAAACUAUAGUUUGUUUUAACAAGAAGUUUGUGGAGUGGUUGAAAAACAAGUUUUAAGUGAAUGUAAACUUCCGACUUCAACUGCAUGAAGAAUUGCCUGCUUAUCCCUCUGUAGUGUUGUUGGUUCAGUAACAUGAAAGCAUGAUGGGUAGUAUUCACAAUAACCUUUUUAGGUUAUCCCUGCUUGUCUUCUACUGCCACGGGUAAUUUGCUAUUGGGCGUCACCAAAGUAUCUGAGGCCAAUUAGGUCAAAACCCUUCGAGAUGACGCAGAUUGGUGUCACAAUGGUGUCUGAGAAUACUGGGUUCGCUCGGGUCUGGGAGACUUUAGGGGCCAUUUGGAGCCCAGAAAAGCCUAGGGCGCCAAGUCUCCCCACUCCGCCCAAACUGCAGGAAAGGAAUGGCCGCUUAUUAUUGCUACCUCCUUCCUACCCGGGGUUGCAGAACUCUGACCCCUUUUGUCUCUGGCUACUAACGUUCCCUCUUGACCAUGAUUGCUAAUUACACUUCCUGUUUGGCUGGCCCAUUCAGUCCCGUGGCUGCCAGACUGGUAAAAACAUUAGAGGGCAAAACCUUUCUCUUGUUGAUAGUCGAGGCUGUGGUAAACAGUGGAAGCAGUUGGAAGGAAACAAUGAGCCUCGAUGGCGUCCCUGGAUCUGUCCAACAUAACCUAAGCUCACCUUGGCCUCUUAUGUCAGGUCAAUGAGCCUCGAUGGCGUCCCUGGAUCUGUCCAACAUAACCUAAGCUCACCUUGGCCUCUUAUGUCAGGUCAAUGAGCCUCGAUGGCGUCCCUGGAUCUGUCCAACAUAACCUAAGCUCACCUUGGCCUCUUAUGUCAGGUCAAUGAGCCUCGAUGGCGUCCCUGGAUCUGUCCAACAUAACCUAAGCUCACCUUGGCCUCUUAUGUCAGGUCAAUGAGCCUCGAUGGCGUCCCUGGAUCUGUCCAACAUAACCUAAGCUCACCUUGGCCUCUUAUGUCAGGUCAAUGAGCCUCGAUGGCGUCCCUGGAUCUGUCCAACAUAACCUAAGCUCACCUUGGCCUCUUAUGUCAGGUCAAUGAGCCUCGAUGGCGUCCCUGGAUCUGUCCAACAUAACCUAAGCUCACCUUGGCCUCUUAUGUCAGGUCAAUGAGCCUCGAUGGCGUCCCUGGAUCUGUCCAACAUAACCUAAGCUCACCUUGGCCUCUUAUGUCAGGUCAAUGAGCCUCGAUGGCGUCCCUGGAUCUGUCCAACAUAACCUAAGCUCACCUUGGCCUCUUAUGUCAGGUCAAUGAGCCUCGAUGGCGUCCCUGGAUCUGUCCAACAUAACCUAAGCUCACCUUGGCCUCUUACAUCAGUUACAUCGGCACAUUUCCUUGUAGAUGACCCAGUCAUCUAUGUUUUUUUUUGGGGGGGGGGACUUCAUUCCUGUAGCGCUUUUCGGAAGUCUAGUAUCUUUCCAUAUCUAAUCGUAAACUUAUUGUAAGCAAUUGAAAAUGUAUACUGGAUUUCUCACUUGUAUUUCAAAAUGAAUGUUUCCAAUCCUAUUCAAACUAAGACUAAACGGAAAUGUACAAUGAAUACUAAAUACACGAUUGAAACCUUUUCCCCGGUACAUAGACUCAUGGCCUCUCCUCAACAAAAGGCUAACAAGACCAUCAAUAAUCCUCAAUGGCAAUUCUGCUCAAUGUCGCCAGACUAGAUUUACUGUAAUCUAUCGACCCCAUUGAUUAUCCAUCAAACUGAGAGACCCAAUUGUAUUCUGCUAGAGCAGGGAGAGACAGUGGACUACAGAUCAUUUACUCAGGUCAGCAGAGCCAGUCAGAUGCUGCCCCAUAUCUGGGCCCGUUACUGAUCUAGGAUCAGUUGAACCUUUUUAGACCAUAAUUAAUCAGAUUAUGUGGACAUGGGGACCUAGAUCCUAGAUCAGUACUUCGACUCUAAAACCCUUUAUGCAUACCGGCCCAGGUCUUUCACCCAAGUGUUCCAUGGAAGAGGUUAGGGGCUAAAGGUAGCAAGCAGCCUGGCACCUCAUCAGGGUGUUCUGUCUCUUGCCCUGUAUACCAACCAAUAACAAGUGUAUCUGCCUUUAGGAAUCCGCAUACUAAGUUCAGUUUGCUCCUAACAAAACGUGCCCAGGCAAAGUGAACAUUUUAUUUGCCACGCAUACUCCUUCAGACCUUUGCUUGAAAAACUAGAGAAAAAUAGUACUGUUUGUCCAUCUUGAGAUGCCGUAGCCAGUAUACACUUCUUCAAGAUAACUCAAGAAAUCUGUGAUUUUGGACAUUUUUGCAGAGUGGAUCUUAGUCAAGCAAUUUUACACCUAGCUAAUAUGUUUGGUGCAGUAUUUCUCAAGUGAAAAAAUGUGCAUGAAAACUAGUUGUCUCUUGUUGAAUGACGACAAACACUUAAUUGAAGAAUCACCGUCGAAGCGCCGUAGACUUCGACUAACAAAAGCAUGUUGUGUGCACAAACAGCCCAAAAGGACCUUGCCAAACACCAAAACAAACAAAAACGUCACAACAUGUCGUCAUAAUAUAUGCACAAACUGUUUUGGAUGGGAAACAUGCCUUUUCUCACACUUCAACACAACAUCUCUCUAGCGGCUAUUAUAUCUUAAUGGAGGAUCUGAAAUACGGUAUCUGAUGGAAUUGAGAAGUAGGAUCUUCUACAAAGUGGUGCCUCCAAUGGAUUUCAGAGGGACUUUUUAAACACAAGCUAUAUCUAUUGCAAAGACCGGUUUCUCAUUGCCAAUUGGUAAGUCCAAAGACUCACAUGGUGAGCAUUUAUAAUAAUGACUUGCGGAUCACAAGAUCAGCUCAUGCUCGCUAUUUUCUGUUAUACACAAGUAUUUAAUCAGCCACCAAUUGUGCAGGUUCUCCCACUUAAAAAUAUGAGAGAGGCCUGUAAUUUUCAUCAUAGGUACACUUCAACUAUAUUCAACUAUAUUUUCACGUGUGAAAUGUGACGUGAAGUGUUCCAAAAACACGUGUUUUCACAUGAUUUCACAUGUGGCAUGUCGUUUUCACAUGUCAUGUGAAACAACGUGAUUUGGUUUAAUAUGUGACAACAUGUGUGCUUAUCCAAAUGAUUGUUUGUGUGUACUGUAUUGACGCAAAAACACAAUUUUUUAAAAAGAGUUUUGCAAGAAUUGUUUGCUUUUCAAAGAGAUUUAUAAUGUUUUGCUGGCUUGGUGUAAGGUUUUGUGGUUGGUGUGUAGAGUUUUGCAAAAAAUAGCCUAUAAUUUCGAAGAUAGUGCCUAAGCGAAACUGGAGAAACAGAAAACAAAGUCUCUGCACACUUCCAGUUAGAUGCAAAUGUAUUUUAAUUAUAGCUGAGCUUUCAUCAGAGCAUGUCACCACAAACAAUAGUGGGGACAGAUAUGUCCACACAGUGAGCCAGAUGUAAUUGUAGACGCCUGUGGUAAUCUAAGGUACCCAAAGGGGCCACUAGAUGUCGUAACAUAAGAUAGAAAUAGAGGAUAGAAAAUAGAACAUGUUAUAGAUGUACAGUAUUACUGCUAGAACAAAACACACAAACACAGGGUUAUGUGGUGUUAGUAUAAGGAAUCUCUCAAAGAGCAAUAAAGUCAAAAAAGCGACAAAAGAAAAGAAAGAAAAGGAAAACUUGGCUGCAAUCUGAGGUGCAGUUAAAACUCUAAUGAACUGAUUCUCUGCAGCAGAGGUAACUCUGGGUCUUCCUCUCCUGUGGCGGUCCUCAUGAGAGUCAGUUAAAACUCUAAUGAACUGAUUCUCUGCAGCAGAGGUAACUCUGGGUCUUCCUCUCCUGUGGCGGUCCUCAUGAGAGACAGGUAAAACUCUAAUGAACUGAUUCUCUGCAGCAGAGGUAACUCUGGGUCUUCCUCUCCUGUAGCGGUCCUCAUGAGAGGCAGUUUCAUCAUAGCGCUUGAUGGUUUUUGCGACUGCACUUGAAAGUAACUUUCAAAGUUCAAAGAUUGACUGACCUUCAUGUCUUAAAGUAAUGAUGGACGGUUGUUUCUCUUUGCUUUUUGAGCUGUUCUUGCCAUAAUAUGGACUUGGUAUUUUACCAAAUAGGGCUAUAGUCUAUAUACCACCCCUACCAUGUCACAACACAACUGAUUGGCUCAAACGCAUUAAGGAAAGAAAUUCCACAAAUGCACUUAUGACGAGGCACAUUUGUUAAUUGAAAUGGAUUCCUGGUGACUACCUCAUGAAGCUGGUUGAGAGAAUGCCAAGAGUGUGCAAAGUUGUCAUCAAGGCAAAGGGUGGCUACUUUGAAGAAUCUCAAAACUCAAAUAUAUGUUGAUUUGUUUAACACUUUCUUUGGUUACUACAUGAUGCCAUAUGUGUUAUUUCAUAGUUUUGAUGUCUUCAGUAUUAUUCUACAAUGUAGAAAAUAGUACAAAUAAAGAAGCAGCCUGGAAUGUG
Molecule: long non-coding RNA, 7569 nt
Organism: Oncorhynchus keta (chum salmon)
Lineage: Eukaryota; Metazoa; Chordata; Actinopteri; Salmoniformes; Salmonidae
Exons: 3
Source: RefSeq, a predicted model, not a curated record